CUAACACUGAAGAUAGAAUCCAAAUGCGGACUCCUCUUCAUGACUCUAGAGCAAUUCACCAAAACCCAAGCUUUCCUAAUCUUCCACAUACUAAUUGCGGCAAACCUACACAUAGCAAAGAUGUGGAAACAGACCGACACCCCAGGUAUAGGGACAGUGAUCAAACAAGCCACCACAAAUAUAGAUUAUGAAACAAACACACACACAGGACAUAAACUUCAGGACUAUAAAACACUAGCCAAACGAGCAUGGGAUGGGUUCUUGGAGGGGCGAGGGGAGGAACAGAGCGACAUCACGCUAUAAUAUAUAGCAAGAGUAGGCUACCAAACUAAACAAUGAGAGAGAGACGUAAGUGGACCAAACUCCAAGCACUACAACACACUCACACUUAGGGGAGAGAGACAGAAGAGUGGAUACCCACACUGUACAUAGUUAUAUACAUUUGUACAUAGUUUUCGACUGACGCCAACACGUAUACAAAGAGACACCUAGACCAACCACAACCCC
Molecule: non-coding RNA, 507 nt
Organism: Pelobates cultripes (western spadefoot toad)
Lineage: Eukaryota; Metazoa; Chordata; Amphibia; Anura; Pelobatidae
Source: the annotation of a GenBank genome assembly